Non-coding RNA from Cinara cedri, 3026 nucleotides. The record is from the annotation of a GenBank genome assembly. NCBI's taxonomy places the organism in Eukaryota, Metazoa, Arthropoda, Insecta, Hemiptera, Aphididae.
CGCAAACAUGAACAAGAUUUGCCGAUCUGGAUUUUUUUCCAUUCACGUUCGGUACGGGAAGGGGUUGGUUCAUCGUGACUAAAUUUAACAUAAAUAUUCAACUCUCGUGGUAAUGGAAAUUCGAGGGUCGGAGUACAGAAGUCAAUGUAUCCCAACGGUAUUCCUUCUUGUACAAUUCGCGGUAUAAGCAAAUAUUUCACAGGCCAAAUCGUCAGAUUCGCUCCCUUGGUAUAAUAUUAUGACGACUGCCAAGUCGCAGAUUAAAAUUCCUGGCGACUCGAGCGUGAACAACGCGCGACAAACGCAAAAACGACGCGACACAUUGAUUAGUAUGAGAAUUUCGCAAGGGAUAUCAUUCGAGUAUUAUUUUUAGAUCGCGGGCAAUGUUUCACUGAUGACUUAAAAAAAAAUAAUCCCAGGUUUCGAAGAUAGGAAAAAAAUUACAAAAAAAUCAUUAUUAAGCCAUCCCAGUGAGUGCGCUUAUACUAGUGUCCUUGUUCAUUUCAGAAAUGCCCUGUGUAUGGUGCCGGCCUUAUCUAGUCGUUUCAUUGUACUUGUUAAUAUCCGUGAGCCUAUAUUGUAUUAUAUUAUUAUAUUUUGUUCGUAGCGCCAUGUUGGCGUCACCGCGGUCGUUCUUCGGUUUUUCGAAAAUAAUAUUCGAUUAUUAUUAACGUGCACCCACUUACUUUAUUGUUAAACUUAGAUGCGUAUUGUGAUGCCACUCGUUGACGUGCCGCAGCGUAUCUAUUCCUAUUAUUAUUUAACACUGUACGAACGUAUCGUAUCGGUUUUACUACUCUAAUUGUACCACUCAUACCUCCCCCCCCCCUCGUUAUUAUUAUUGUAAUGUUAGACCAAUCAACUCGUACGUACGUCCGUUCGGAUAAUAUCCGGCGUUGGUGGUUUCAACAAAAAAAAAAAAAAAAAAAAAAAAAUAAAAAAACCCGCGUGACUCGUUAAAUUUCGGACGUAUAGGUACAGAUUAUAUGAAUAUGAUUGAAUAUUAUUAUAACGUUUGAAUUAUUAUAAUUUGUCAUAUUAAUAUUUGUGUACAUAUCAAUAUCAUAUUAUUAUUAUUAUUAUUAUCAUUAUUAUUAUUAUUAUUAUUAUUAGUAUUAUAUUAAUGUGUUAUCAUUCAUAUGAUAUUUUAUUUGCAUAUAGAACUAAUUAUAACAUUAUGUAUUUGGAACCGCGUCAGAGUGUCACUAUCGCGUCGGAGAGUACACCCGCAUACACCGACGCCGCACCCGGAAUAACAUCGCACGUUGUUAUACACAUACGUCAUCGACGACGGGGUGUAAAUGACAAACCCGAUGAUGUAUUUAUGUUUAAGGUACCUAUAAUGUUUGUUAUUGUUACCACGAUAACACCGGAUCCUCGGCAAUUCGUCAUUGUACCCACGUUGUCCGCGCGUACCUAUAUACGACCGAGACACACCGGAACAUCGGCUGCAGUUCCCCCUCCCCAUUUAUCGCCCCUGCGCGAAUACCGAAAAACCCAAUCGCGGGCGAACGAGCGUCAUCGGUGAAAGAUCGUACAAUACUGUAACCGUAUACGAUGGGUAUAAUGCUAUAAUGCGAUAAUUGUGUAAAAUUAAAACCACCGAUCCGCGUGAUUUAUAUUUUUGAAACUAUAAUAAUCAAAAACAUUUUAUUAUGUUAUUGUAUCUAGAUAAUAUAUUGUUGUUUAUGCGCCCGCGGUUCUCCGCUAUCGGAUUCUCUGUAUAUAUAUACAUAUAAAACAAAAAAAAACAAAAAAACCUCCGACUGUUAAAAUAUCCAAAUGCAAUGAGUUCACAAACAAGUGUAGCCGAACGCAAAACAGUAUUUCAUUUGGGUAUACUUAUACUUGUUGCUAUAAUAUUAUCACCUCAUCUGCGCCACCGACCAUGCCAAAGGACUGUAAUAAACGUGCCAAUAAUCGUACAAAUCAAAUACCUACAACGUAUGUCUUUACGCUGUACAACUUCUUGUUCAUCCUGACACGGCGAUCGAAAAUCAUUUAAUCCCGUCGUGAGUUAAAUACUGGUAAUGUUUAUUUAAUAACGUAAUAUUUCGCGCUAACAAUGUGCUUUAAACGACCUAUUCCAUCGUCACGAUGCAACUAUCGCAACUGACACUGUGCACCUAUAUUAAUGGCUGAAUUACGUUAAUAUGUUAAUGCAAGGUUUUGAUAGAUGUGUAUGUUAUGCUAUAGUUUCCAUGAUAAUUAAGAGACUAAGAAAAAAAAAAUAUAAUAUAUAUAUAGCACAAACGAUUUUCUUAAAUACUAGUUUUAUUAAUAUUGAUAAUAAUCUCAUUUUCCAUCUGUCUCGUACGUGACAGCAACAAUAAGACAUUCGACAUUUUCACGAUUGCAACACUCGUUUUAUAAAAAAAAAAGAGUAUUUAUUACGGAUCCUGCAAAUGAUUUGUUCAAUCGCUUUUUUUUUUCUUUAUCAAAAAACGCGUUUUUUUUUUAAAUUUAACUAGAAUUCUCUUGCUUUUAACCGUUACAACUUAUUAUGAAAUGAAAAUGUUUUUUUUUUUUUUUUUAUUAAAUCGGAUCUGAAUUACAUACUCUUCAGAUAUAUAAUUGGUCCCUUUGCCCUGAACUCAGCCGGAAAGUUGCAAUCACGGAAAUGUGGAAUUUUUUAGUUCACACGCGAAACAGACAGAAAAAACAAAUGAUUUGUUAGUGACGAGGCCGCUUGGACUGCAGUUUUAUCGAAAAUAUCAAACGAAAUCAUUUUACUAUUAUAACUGUUAACUUACUUGUAUAUUUUGUUUGCAGCUUAUAGUUUUGGAUAUUUAAUAGCGAUGAACGUUGUAUCUAUAUUAUAGUAUUUACUUGUUUAAGCAUUUUUUGUUUUGGUAGUUUUACGUAUACCCAAUAAUGUUAAUAUUACAUUUUAUUAAGAACAUCAUCAGAAUAAAAAGACUAUAGGUUAGGAAAUAUAAAAUAUUUUAGACUUAUAUAUUAUAUUGUAAAAGAUUUGUUUGUGUUUUAAUACGAUUUUGUUACCUAUUAAAUUUAUGAUUUACGAG